Molecule: long non-coding RNA, 4908 nt
Organism: Drosophila sechellia
Lineage: Eukaryota; Metazoa; Arthropoda; Insecta; Diptera; Drosophilidae
Exons: 2
Source: RefSeq, a predicted model, not a curated record
CGAUUCUAAUGCCAUUUCGCAAAGCCCGACUUGGACAGUCCAAGCCUUUCUAACACGUUUCCAAACGAAACGAAACGAAACGGCCAAGAACAAGUUUGCACAAAAUAAUGAUAAUAAAUAUAAAUAUUAAUUUGAGGGCCAGUCGAGCGGAGGAUGAGUGAAUAUUCCCGGUCUCGGUUCCAUUUCAUCCCGCUUCGGGUUGGGUUUCUAAAAUCGUGAUUCUAAAAUUGUCCAAAAUUAGCCAGAAGAACAAAAAAGAAAAAGAGGAAAGAGUCCACUAGGGGUUCAUUGUUGCCACGAGCUGGAAGCUAUCGAUCGCUCUAUGUGAACAGCAUUCGGUUGACAGGCCAUAAAAUGUGCGCGUUUGAUGUUAAUUCGAUCGUUAAGCGGACUAUAUAUGUAUAUAUAUCCAACUAUGUGUAUAUUGAUCCAGCUUCCAGAGCUUGGGAAUCGCUGUGCAAUUAAUCCUCCGUCUUUUAUUAACACAUAUAUCCGAGCCCAUCAGUCCGGCUCCAGAACCCAUUCGACUAAAUUUAGUGGACUUAGUAUGCAAAUUUCUAAAGCGAUUAUGCCCGAUAAGACGGCACUUAAGACCGCCGUGUGAUUUAAGCUGCUUUCCACAGAUUUAUGGCGGAGAAAUUGGAGAAGAAAGGUGAGUCUGUGCGCUGCUAAUUGAUGGCUUGUAGCAUGUGGUUUGGUCACAAGAUUUGGAAUACGAAAAUUAACUAUUCGAUAUCUAACAUGCAUAUUUGACUUAAAUGGAUGUAACAACAUACCAUGUUCUUGGGAUGCGGCAAUCUUGGUUCCCACCACUUAAAUCAGGCAACAGCGAUCGCUGCGCCAUUAUUAUAACCCCUGAUCCCCCCGAUCGAUGCAGAUUACAAGAUUAGAUAAUGACAAUCAAUAUUUAAUACCGAUGGCACUGCAACAACUUCCGUCAUGAGUCGAGUAAAUUUUGCAUAAUUACAGCUGAUUGCGAGCUGAGGCUUGGGAACAAAUAAAUUGCUACAAGUAACUCGGAGAACAAGCGAAAUCAUUUAAUAAAAUUAAUAAUCCGUAUUGUCCCAGCCAAGCGGCAUGUGCCAAAAAAGGUAACCAAGUCUGAUGGAUGCCAACCAGUUUCGGCUGGCCAAAGCCGAUGCAAAAAAACAAAAAAAUAUAUAUAUAAAUAAUAAAAACCAAAAGUUGCUCUCGACGCCUUUCUGUCUGUGGAAGUGCUAAGACAAAUCAUGGCGAGAAUCAACUGGAGUGGGAAAGAAAGUCGGAACUCUACCAAGAAAGUCCUGAAUCCUCGAACCCAACGAGCAUAAUAAUUCAAAUGGCCCAUAACUAGGCAAUUAAUUGUGCUUUGAUUCUUGUGGGUUUGCUUUUCCAUUCUGACACACGCCAUCGCCAUUUAAGCCAACGCUGCAUACUUGAUUGCCAAUUAAAUUAGUCAAAAGCCAUUAGAAUCGGGCGGAGUGAGACGGAGCAUGCUAGAUGGACCAUUAAUUCACAAUUCAUUCAGACAUUCAUCUCGUGUAAGCCCAACUAAUCUUCCCAGGCGUUUGUUUUUUAAUGACCCACUCGACGCUGAUUGACAGCUGAGUGGGUGAGGAUUUGGGUGGGGUAGGUGUCGGCACUUGAUAACUAUUUUGCACAGCUUAUUAACUGCAAUUAAGUGUUACCAAGACGUCUUAAUCAGCAUUCUAGCAGCUUGUAGGCAUAAAACAAGUCACUUGCGCAUUAGGUCGUUAUAUUCAUGUGGAGCGUGCCGAAUCAAAAUACUAAUCCACACUUUAAAUUACUUGCUAAUAAACUCAAUUCGCAGAAACCAUUUGGAGCGUGUCAAAUGGACAACAACAUUUGAUUUCAAUUAGGAAGAAACCCACAGAUUAUAAGCACACAUUUAUUUAGUAUUAGUAUUAAACUUGAAUAAACCUUAAAUUAAACUUAAAUAAAUUUAAUUUGAUUUCUGAUUAUUAUUUUCAAAUCAACCAGUUAAGUCAAGUUCUCUAGAAAUAGUUUUCAUUCUGCCCAAUCCAAGUAUUAGAUUUCACUGCCCAUUUUGCUGGUGAAUCUGCAAGGGUGGCAUUUUUUGCCACUCGACUCACACUCAAUAAUUUUGAGUGCGGGUGCCACUCACAUCGCGGGUACUUCUCUGCGGUGGCAAUUGGCCACCCCGUUUGUGGGUCAUUUAGGUCAACGCCAAAGAGUAUGCUACAAAUUCUUGGCCCUUUCGUUCCUACCCGGAAAAUAUAUCUCACUCUCUCCGCCGCCGUAUCUAUAACAUAAAUAAUGCUUCAUUUGUCCAGUUCUGUCAACAGCUUUGGUUUCCCGCAUCCGGAAAUGGCAUCUGCUUGUUCCGACCCCGCCACUGGGAAAGAACCCACCCGGUCAAUCCUCGAAAGUCGAAGUGCAGGCCUUGGAUCAGCUGUGCGUGGGUGGCUCUUCUCCGGGAGCCGCUGACAUAUGGAUGUACGCGCUAAUGGCCAAAACCGAUGACAAUGGAUGCUCCCACGCAUCCGCCGGAUGAUUCAUGCGUUUCCACUCGCUUAUGCACACUUAGGAAUCGCAUUCUUGGAUGCUGACUUUGCACAGAGAAAAACUAUGAAACAUUUGCUGGGAUGAUAACCUAAUAUAGUUCGCUUAUUUUCCUUAGUGUACCAAUAGCUUCGAUUGUCCUUGCUGGCUUAUCGUCCCAUCGCAACGAGUGCUGCCAGUGAAAUUGAUAAAUUGUGGAUUUUAAGUGGCUGCGAGCACGAGGGGUUGGGAUAAGGCAUCAAAUUAUGACUUAUGAACACGGAUCCGUCGUCUAAUGCAGCCGCUUGGGGAAUGCAGCAAACGCCACUCGUCUGACAGAAGACAUUUUACCGAAUGCCAAAUUUGGCUCACGCCAUGGCGCCACACCAUCAUCGCACUGUGGAAUGGCCGGCGGAGCGGCAGAUGCCCAGUGGAAUAGGUGGCUGUGUGGCAGCUGGUCCGAUAUGGACAGGUUAGCGCCCGAUAAGGAGCGAGCACGUGUCGCCGGCGUCUCCAGAGGAGCGACAGAAGGCAGAUGUCACCGUGGUCCAAGAUCGGGCUUAAGUGCGCGGAGAUUUCUGCUGAAAUGGCCACUGGACGGACAUCAAUCAGGCAGCAGGCAGUAGUUGCAAUCGCAAUUGGAAGCGGCAUCAACCUGAUCGAUCGACUUGUUUCGGGAUGCAGUGCACGUGCCUGCUGCUUGACCGCUUUCCUCAAUGAGCCGCAAGCCAUGAUCCAUGGGGCCAUGCCAGAUUGUGUUUUCCGUCUAAAUCGCCUGCGAUCGGAUCGCUUGAAUUUACGAGCGCACGCCUCGUUCUCAGAAUUCCGCAGGCUGCCCAGUAAGUUCGAUUCGAAUUACAGACAAUCUUGCCCUGGGAAUUGGACCCGGAAUGGGAAUUGCCAGCCCGACCCUAGACAUCGCUGACAAUUAUUGCUAAGCAAACAUGCAUAAAUUGGCAUUGCGAUUGCCAUGGCCAUUGCCAUUGCCCCCACUGGCAGCAAAUGGAUAAUGGCUAAUGGCCAUGCCCCGUAACUCGACGCCAGCCAGACUGAGUUGUGCUCCCCGAAUCCGAGUCCCAAUCAGACUCUGUAGUGGCCCUUGGCCGCCUGGCACUCACUCUGCACUCCACUUCCUUCCGUGGCCAUCAUGGCAUCGGAAUAGCCAGACUGCCACUCGGACCGCACCGAUUCGGAGCCAUCAGUGUGCCUGAUGCCACCCCAGACGCAGUGUCGUCGCGGAGAGUUGGAGUUCGUGCCUCUGAAACUGAUGCCACACACACGAGCCGAGAACAAUGGCCGGGGAUCCUCUGCUCGAGAGGAGGCGGAGUGGUCAGGAGGAGGUAGCUGACAAUCAGCAGCUGAAAUUCCCGCAGGCUAUUCGAUUUCCACUUUUUGAACUGGUCAACAGCGAUGUCUUCUUAAUGGCUUGGUAUGGAUUUUUCAAACAGGACAUGAGAGUUAAACUCAGCUCUCAUAGAUUUGAUUUAAUCUAAAGAAUCUUGUAGGUUAGUGAAACCAAAAAAGUUGCAGAUCUUCCUUUUUUCUAACAUUUUAUCCAUUUAUUUCAAAUCUUGCCGCCCAAUAUAAAACAAGAGUAAUAGUUUUUUUUUCAUAUAUUUUAAUUUGAUUUCUUCCACUUGCAUUUGUUGCGUUGGUUUUUGUUUUGUUUUUUUUUUUGUUUUUUUCUUCAUCUUUUGGGUAUUCAAAUAUAUCGUAAACUUACAGUUCCAGCCAUACAAGUAGUAUAUAAAGAGUUAUUAUUGUACAUUACAUUAACAUUAAACUUUAAACUUUAAACUUGAUUAAUUUGUAGAAUCGAAAAAGGCCAAAGAGCUGUCUCCCCUUUCCGCCGGUUAGGUGCAUAAUUAGCUGGCGAUAGUUGUAUAAAUAUUAACACAGUUUGGAUAAAAGUUGGUUACGUUUGCAAUUUGAGAUAAGCGGAAUUUCGAGUUGGUUAAGUAGGCUUGAGUUCUAGGGAUGCGCUGGGCUCGUUCAAGUUUCAACUAAGCAAAAAUACUGUUGUGCAAUUCUCAUAGUAGUUGGGUAGGUCCUCAUCCUCGUCCUUUCUAGAGCUUAAAUUUUAAGCAAACAUUAUCAAGUACUUUCGCUAGGACUGCGUUAAGUUCUAAGUACACUUAGCUAAAGCUUAGCUUAGGUUUAGUCAUACUCGUAGUUAUAGUUAUAGUUUAGUUUUUAGAUCAGUUUAGUUUAGCGCAGCGACGAAACACACAUACAGUAGUACAAAUACAAAUACAAAUACAAAACAGGCACACAAACACCAGGCUCUCCGGAUAAAACUCCAUUACUAAAGCUAAAAUAAAUAAAACUUAGGCUACACAAAAAUGGCGACAAUAUGAGUUUCGAUGCUAUGUGUGUGUGUGUGUGUGUCUGAAUACCAUAUAUGUA